RNAcentral lists this ribosomal RNA (258 nucleotides) under uncultured prokaryote. RNAcentral's name for it is "partial 16S ribosomal RNA". It matches the Rfam family "Bacterial small subunit ribosomal RNA", at positions 526 to 782 of the family's 1533-position model. The record is from RNAcentral.
CGUAGGGUGCGAGCGUUGUCCGGAAUUACUGGGCGUAAAGAGCUCGUAGGUGGUUUGUCACGUCGUCUGUGAAAUUCCGGGGCUUAACCUCGGGCGUGCAGGCGAUACGGGCAAUACUUGAGUGCUGUAGGGGAGACUGGAAUUCCUGGUGUAGCGGUGAAAUGCGCAGAUAUCAGGAGGAACACCAAUGGCGAAGGCAGGUCUCUGGGCAGUUACUGACGCUGAGGAGCGAAAGCAUGGGUAGCGAACAGGAUUAGA